AGUGAACGCUGGCGGUAGGCCUAACACAUGCAAGUCGAACGGCAGCACAGGAGAGCUUGCUCUCUAGGUGGCGAGUGGCGGACGGGUGAGGAAUACAUCGGAAUCUGCCCAGUCGUGGGGGAUAACGUAGGGAAACUUACGCUAAUACCGCAUACGACCUUCGGGUGAAAGAGGGGGAUCGCAAGACCCCUCGCGAUUGGAUGAGCCGAUGUCGGAUUAGCUAGUUAGCGGGGUAAUGGCCCACCAAGGCGACGAUCCGUAGCUGGUCUGAGAGGAUGAUCAGCCACACUGGAACUGAGACACGGUCCAGACUCCUACGGGAGGCAGCAGUGGGGAAUAUUGGACAAUGGGCGCAAGCCUGAUCCAGCCAUACCGCGUGGGUGAAGAAGGCCUUCGGGUUGUAAAGCCCUUUUGUUGGGAAAGAAAUCUUUCAGGCUAAUACCCUGGGAGGAUGACGGUACCCAAAGAAUAAGCACCGGCUAACUUCGUG
RNAcentral lists this ribosomal RNA (490 nucleotides) under uncultured bacterium. RNAcentral's name for it is "partial 16S ribosomal RNA". It matches the Rfam family "Bacterial small subunit ribosomal RNA", at positions 29 to 507 of the family's 1533-position model. The record is from RNAcentral.